GCGCGCGGUCACUUCCGGGGCGUACCGGAAGUCGCUUUGUUUUGCUUCAAGAUGGCUGCGGGGAUGUAUUUGGAACAUUAUCUGGACAGUAUCGAAAACCUCCCCUUUGAACUGCAGAGGAACUUUCAGCUCAUGCGGGAUCUGGACCAAAGAACAGAGGACCUGAAGGCCGAAAUUGACAAGUUGGCCACCGAGUACAUGAGCAGCGCUCGCAGCCUGAGCUCCGAGGAGAAACUGGCCCUUCUCAAGCAGAUCCAGGAGGCCUAUGGCAAGUGCAAGGAAUUUGGCGACGACAAGGUGCAGCUGGCCAUGCAGACCUACGAGAUGGUGGACAAGCACAUUCGCCGGCUCGACACGGACCUGGCCCGUUUCGAGGCCGACCUGAAGGAGAAACAGAUCGAGUCGAGCGACUACGACAGCUCCUCCAGCAAAGGCAAAAAGAGUCGGACUCAGAAGGAGAAAAAGGCUGCCCGUGCCCGUUCCAAAGGAAAGAACUCCGACGAAGAGGCCCCCAAGGCUACCCAGAAGAAGUUAAAACUCGUGCGCACAAGUCCUGAGUAUGGGAUGCCCUCAGUGACCUUUGGCAGUGUCCACCCCUCUGAUGUGUUGGAUAUGCCUGUGGAUCCCAACGAGCCCACCUAUUGCCUUUGUCACCAGGUCUCCUAUGGAGAGAUGAUUGGCUGUGACAACCCUGAUGUGAGAAACCUUUUGCCUUAAUCAUGGUGUUCCAUUGAGUGGUUCCACUUUGCCUGUGUGGGGCUGACAACGAAGCCUCGGGGGAAAUGGUUUUGCCCACGCUGCUCCCAAGAAAGAAAGAAGAAAUAAAGAAGGGCCUUGGACCCCACCACAGUUCCUUCCAUGCCCCCCGCCCGGCCGGUGGGGAGCGGAACGGCUGUGCUGGACUCGGGGGGGUCAGGGGGAGGUGGACGGCACCCGCGGGGCGCCCGCCUCCCCGCUCUCCCCACUCCUGGUGCUGAGGCUGCAGCCACGCCCUGAAAAGGGGGUGCCCCGGCCACUAACAGUUUAUGCUCUCAUUCAGCCCACCCCUUUAGAGGGAGGUGGUCUUGUCCACUGUCCUUUUUUUUUUUUUUGCCUCCGUGCCGAGGCUGGUGCUGGAUUCCCAAGGGAUGGUCCUCUUUUCUCCCCUGGCUUUGUACUUCAGGACGUUGGGGGGCAGGCAGUCGCGGGGCACUCCCCGGCCUCCGCCCUCGGGAGGGGACGCUACGGUGUGAUCAAGUUUCUUCAUUACUUCCUGCUUUAUCCAUGGGGCUCCCCCAGAACUAAUGGGCUUCGAUCCUAAUAGGAGGGGCACACCCCCUGCCCUCUGUGCCAAAAAGGUUCACGCGGCCUUGUGAGCGGGAGAGGGGGCUGACGGGAUGCCGGGGCUCACGUGGGGGGUUGCAGGGGUGAAUAAAAGCUGUCCGUGUGGG
Molecule: RNA transcript, 1430 nt
Organism: Sorex fumeus (smoky shrew)
Lineage: Eukaryota; Metazoa; Chordata; Mammalia; Eulipotyphla; Soricidae
Gene: ING4
Gene name: inhibitor of growth family member 4
Exons: 8
Source: RefSeq, a predicted model, not a curated record